RNAcentral lists this ribosomal RNA (754 nucleotides) under uncultured bacterium. Its description in RNAcentral is "bacterial SSU rRNA". It matches the Rfam family "Bacterial small subunit ribosomal RNA", at positions 56 to 818 of the family's 1533-position model. The record is from RNAcentral.
UGCAGUCGAACGAUGAUCUCCAGCUUGCUGGGGUGAUUAGUGGCGAACGGGUGAGUAACACGUGAGUAACCUGCCCUUCACUUCGGGAUAACUCCGGGAAACCGGGGCUAAUACUGGAUAUGACUCCUGCUCGCAUGGGUGGGGGUGGAAAGAUUUUUUUGGUGGGGGAUGGACUCGCGGCCUAUCAGCUUGUUGGUGAGGUAGUGGCUUACCAAGGCGACGACGGGCAGCCGGCCUGAGAGGGUGACCGGCCACACUGGGACUGAGACACGGCCCAGACUCCUACGGGAGGCAGCAGUGGGGAAUAUUGCACAAUGGGCGCAAGCCUGAUGCAGCGACGCCGCGUGAGGGAUGACGGCCUUCGGGUUGUAAACCUCUUUCAGCUCUGAAGAAGCUCACUUGUGGGUGACGGUAGGGGCAGAAGAAGCACCGGCUAACUACGUGCCAGCAGCCGCGGUAAUACGUAGGGUGCGAGCGUUGUCCGGAAUUAUUGGGCGUAAAGAGCUUGUAGGCGGUUUGUCGCGUCUGCUGUGAAAUUCCGGGGCUCAACUCCGGACUUGCAGUGGGUACGGGCAGGCUAGAGUGUGGUAGGGGAGACUGGAAUUCCUGGUGUAGCGGUGAAAUGCGCAGAUAUCNNAGGAACACCGAUGGCGAAGGCAGGUCUCUGGGCCAUUACUGACGCUGAGAAGCGAAAGCAUGGGGAGCGAACAGGAUUAGAUACCCUGGUAGUCCAUGCCGUAAACGUUGGGCGCUA